AGGUCAUCGAGUAGCCGACUUGGAAUUAAUUUACACCACACAAGGUUUCUUGGACUCGACCUUUUUGCGUAUUCGGGACCGUCAUCGAAGUCAUCACACCGGCUAACAACUUUUGGUAUUUUCUUCGUAGUUGGUCUAGGAGUACAUUUCGGCAUGUAUAGACUGUUAUGCUUUGUUGAAAUUUGGUAUGUAAACUUUUAGCCAUGCGAAAAUAGCGUAAAUGUUCUGUUGGAAUUGGUUUUGUGAUGUUUGGACACAAAUCAUGGUUAUAAUUUGGGACAUGCAUGAUGAAUUAUUAGUUAAAUCAAGGAAAA
Gossypium arboreum is the source of this 314-nucleotide long non-coding RNA. RefSeq lists it as uncharacterized. Lineage: Eukaryota; Viridiplantae; Streptophyta; Magnoliopsida; Malvales; Malvaceae. The transcript has 2 exons. The record is from RefSeq and is a predicted model, not a curated record.